Molecule: non-coding RNA, 100 nt
Organism: Nemania sp. NC0429
Lineage: Eukaryota; Fungi; Ascomycota; Sordariomycetes; Xylariales; Xylariaceae
Source: the annotation of a GenBank genome assembly
GGGCGAAUGGUCUAGGGGUAUGAUACUCCCUUCGCAUUGUCUGAAUCUUCUUUCAGUGGCUGUAUGGGAGGGGUCCGGGGUUCAAUUCCCCGUUCGUCCA